Dreissena polymorpha is the source of this 853-nucleotide long non-coding RNA. RefSeq lists it as uncharacterized. The transcript has 3 exons. Lineage: Eukaryota; Metazoa; Mollusca; Bivalvia; Myida; Dreissenidae. The record is from RefSeq and is a predicted model, not a curated record.
AGUAAUUGAACUUUGUGUUUUGUUGGAGAAGUUACGGUUUUGAAAGACUGUGUUUAAGAGAAAGAUUGAUAUAAUUGUAAUUGUUGAUCAUUUUUAUGUGACUGGAGUUAAUGAUAAAAGUCAACUAUUGGACGGAAGUGCUGAUAAUUACAAAGAAAACUAUUAGUGAAAAUACUGUCGCGGUCGCCGGAUUGUCGAAUUCGGACGCUGAUUGACAAUUCAGAUGGAAAUAAAAAAGGCAAGGCGAGGAUUGAAUUAUCGGGGGCAGUAACUGUGUAAAACCGUCGUAAAGGCAUGUCAGUAGCUCAGGAUACUUCAUGGCAUAAACUGGGUUUAGGCAGUCUAAAAUCACACACAUUCUUGAUGUCCAAGCAAAAGUAUGGAGGGCAGAUAGUGAAGUAGGUCAUGUCUCAUCGUAUCUGUGAAACAUAUCUGUGAAACGUGGCAGUGGCGGCAAAGAAACCAGACCGGCCAGGUUGCACGUGCACAUGACUGUGUCCACAAGUUUACUGGAGUGUCAGUGGUGAGAAGGGACUCAAGGAGCUUUAAUUGAAGAGGGCAAGCCUGUUGAGAUUUUAGAGGGUGAUGGAUAUAAUAAUAUAGAAAUUCGCGUGAAAAGGAACAUAAACCUUACUCUACAGAAACGUUUUGAUAAAAAUCAUGUCAAGAACAUUUUGAUAAUGAAGAAUUCAGACUGUCAGCCCAGGCGGAGUUCUGCAAAAAUCGACCAUGAAAAUCAUGUUUAUAUUGUGUAUAUAAUAAUAAGUUUAAUGUUAUUAAUCACUAUUCAUUAAUGAAGCUAUUUUCCUUUUAACUGGUAUGAUUGAAUGAUUAAAUAUGCCAUAUGUCUUAA